GGGGUUGUGGCUCAGUGGUAGAGCACUCGCCUAGCAUGGGAGAUACCCUGGAUUCGAUCCCCAACACCACCU
This 72-nucleotide transfer RNA is filed under the name Ictidomys tridecemlineatus (thirteen-lined ground squirrel). RNAcentral describes it as "Spermophilus tridecemlineatus (thirteen-lined ground squirrel) tRNA". It matches the Rfam family "tRNA". Rfam says of the family: Transfer RNA (tRNA) molecules are approximately 80 nucleotides in length. The record is from Rfam by way of RNAcentral. Lineage: Eukaryota; Metazoa; Chordata; Mammalia; Rodentia; Sciuridae.